UACGUAGGCAGCAAGCGUUGUUCGGAGUUACUGGGCGUAAAGAGUGUGUAGGCGGUUUGGUAAGUUUGGUGUGAAAUCUCCCGGCUUAACUGGGAGGGUGCGCCGGAUACUGCCAGACUUGAGUGUGGGAGAGGGAAGCGGAAUUCCUGGUGUAGCGGUGAAAUGCGUAGAUAUCAGGAGGAACACCUGUGGUGUAGACGGCUUCCUGGACCACAACUGACGCUGAGACACGAAAGCGUGGGUAGCAAACAGG
RNAcentral lists this ribosomal RNA (253 nucleotides) under uncultured bacterium. RNAcentral describes it as "partial 16S ribosomal RNA". It matches the Rfam family "Bacterial small subunit ribosomal RNA", at positions 524 to 776 of the family's 1533-position model. The record is from RNAcentral.